AGUGAACGCUGGCGGCGUGCUUAACACAUGCAAGUCGACCGAGAACGGGUUAUAGCUUGCUAUAAUUGUCAGCUAAGUGGCGCACGGGUGAGUAAUGUAUAGGUAAUAUGCCUCUUACUAAGGGAUAACAAAUGGCAACGUUUGCUAAUACCUUAUACUCCUUAUUAACAUAAGUUAAUAAGGGAAAGAUUUAUUGGUAAGAGAUUAGCCUGUAUUGUAUCAGUUAGUUGGUGGGGUAAUGGCUUACCAAGACUAUGACACAUAACUGGUUUGAGAGGAUGAUCAGUCACACUGGAACUGAGACACGGUCCAGACUCCUACGGGAGGCAGCAGUGGGGAAUAUUGCACAAUGGACGAAAGUCUGAUGCAGCAACGCCGCGUGGAGGAUGACACAUUUCGGUGCGUAAACUCCUUUUAUAUGAGAAGAUAAUGACGGUAUUAUAUGAAUAAGCACCGGCUAACUCCGUGCCAGCCGCCGCCGUAA
This 484-nucleotide ribosomal RNA is filed under the name uncultured bacterium. RNAcentral's name for it is "partial 16S ribosomal RNA". It matches the Rfam family "Bacterial small subunit ribosomal RNA", at positions 29 to 523 of the family's 1533-position model. The record is from RNAcentral.